UUGUGGAGGAGGACGCCGAAGGUGGGGCUAAUGACUGGGGUGAAGUCGUAACAAGGUAGCCGUACCGGAAGGUGCGGCUGGAUCACCUCCUAACAGGGAGACAACAAAAUGUUUAAUAUUAUUAUUUUGUCACCUUAGGUCGAUCGGUAUCUCACGUUCUUAAUUAAUUAAGAAUUUCAUUUCCUAAGUUUUUCUAGGUCACACCCAUUAUUUUUCCUGGGCCAUUAGCUCAGGUGGUUAGAGCGCACCCCUGAUAAGGGUGAGGUCCCUGGUUCAAGUCCAGGAUGGCCCAUAUCUCUAUGUUGGGGGUAUAGCUCAGUUGGUAGAGCGCCUGCUUUGCAAGCAGGAUGUCAGCGGUUCGAGUCCGCUUACCUCCACUGAUUACCACCUCUUCCAUAAUCUGUAGAAAGGAAAUUUUUUGAGUUGUGAUCAAAUUCUGAACGAAUCUAGCUUCCUAAUGAAAGCAUUAAGAUGCUGGACUCAUUGAAUUAAAUUCAUUGUUUUCAGAGAACCUUGACAACUGCAUAGAUUAUUUUUUUAAAGACAAUAAGCAUCUUUAAUGAUGCAGAUUUAUUAUUUGUGCGAAUGCAUUAAUAACAAUUCUAUUAAGCUGAUGCUUCAAUUUUGAAGUUAUUGGUCAAGCUACAA
Molecule: unclassified non-coding RNA, 648 nt
Filed under: uncultured Prochlorococcus sp.
Lineage: Bacteria; Bacillati; Cyanobacteriota; Cyanophyceae; Synechococcales; Prochlorococcaceae
Description: partial 16S-23S ribosomal RNA intergenic spacer; may also contain 16S ribosomal RNA and 23S ribosomal RNA
Rfam family: tRNA (bases 305-377)
Source: RNAcentral